Molecule: long non-coding RNA, 176 nt
Filed under: Ixodes scapularis (black-legged tick)
Lineage: Eukaryota; Metazoa; Arthropoda; Arachnida; Ixodida; Ixodidae
Description: uncharacterized LOC115311116
Source: RNAcentral
UUCAGGUGGUGUUUUGACCUUAGAAGCACAAGGCCCAUCCACCUCAGGUUCAACAGCAAACAUGAAGAAAUGUACAGGAUCUCCUCGAAAAAAUGAUGGCCUUUCUCAACGAGUCUUUCAAAAGCAAGUUCUACGACAUCUGCAAGUAAUGAGGCUCAUGCUGGAGCAAAACAGAG